This is a long non-coding RNA of Cercocebus atys (sooty mangabey), 727 nucleotides long. RefSeq lists it as uncharacterized. The record is from RefSeq and is a predicted model, not a curated record. Lineage: Eukaryota; Metazoa; Chordata; Mammalia; Primates; Cercopithecidae. The transcript is spliced from 2 exons.
GCCAGCUCUAUUUUGGGACCCUGUGCCUGGGAAUUUCCCUGAGCCCUGAUCAUGCGCCCUCCCUGCUGCCUGACUGGUGCUUUGUUACAGCAGGGGAGGAACGAACACACCACUCUCUCCCCAUCAGGGCCCUCAUCUGCAUUUGGAAGAUCUGGCGAGGAUGAAAUUUAUCAUGCAACCAGAAACUGGAACACAGUGUGGCAGGAAGGAUCCUAUCUUGUUUUAACCUGAAUUGACUCUCCCUUAGCUGAGAGAGCCAGAUAGACUCCAUUUGGCUCCUUCAUCUGCACAUCAAGGGCUCCUUACCCACCCUCUUCCUCAAGGACUUAAUUUGUGCAAGCUGACUCUCAGUGUAUCAGAGUGUAAUUAACUGACAAAGGUACCCUGCCAAGCUAUGUCUGAAGUUCCCAGGAAUUCACUCAGGAGAUAGUAACCUAAAGUCUCCGUGUUUGUGUCCAGUAGAUAACACCCAAAGCCCCCGCACCUAUCACCUUGUGAUGAAUUUAAAGCCCCUGCACCUGGAACUGUUUGUCUUCCUGUAACCAUUUGUCUUUUUAACUUUUUUUUUUUUUUGCCUGUUUUACUUCUGUAAGAUUGCUACAGCUAGGCUCCCCCUCCUCUCUCUAAACCAAAGUAUAAAAGAAAAUCUAGCCCCUUCUUUCAGGCUGAGAGAAUUUUGAGCGCUAGCCUUCCCUCGGUCGCCAGCUAAUAAAGGACUCCUGAAUGA